GAUGAACGCUGACAGAAUGCUUAACACAUGCAAGUCAACUUGAACUUCGGUUUGGGUGGCGGACGGGUGAGUAACGCGUAAAGAACUUGCCUCACAGAUAGGGACAACAUUUGGAAACGAAUGCUAAUACCAGAUAUUAUGAUUAUAUGGCAUCGUAUAAUUAUGAAAGCUAUAUGCGCUGUGAGAGAGCUUUGCGUCCCAUUAGCUAGUUGGAGAGGUAACGGCUCACCAAGGCGAUGAUGGGUAGCCGGCCUGAGAGGGUGAUCGGCCACAAGGGGACUGAGACACGGCCCUUACUCCUACGGGAGGCAGCAGUGGGGAAUAUUGGACAAUGGACCAAGAGUCUGAUCCAGCAAUUCUGUGUGCACGAUGAAGUUUUUCGGAAUGUAAAGUGCUUUCAGUUGGGAAGAAAAAAAUGACGGUACCAACAGAAGAAGUGACGGCUAAAUACGUG
RNAcentral lists this ribosomal RNA (454 nucleotides) under uncultured bacterium. Its description in RNAcentral is "partial 16S ribosomal RNA". It matches the Rfam family "Bacterial small subunit ribosomal RNA", at positions 28 to 507 of the family's 1533-position model. The record is from RNAcentral.